UACAGUGAGGUCUGUAUUCAGUCUCCCCAGGCUACAGUGAGGUCUGUAUUCAGUCUCCCCAGGCUACAGUGAGGUCUGUAGUCAGUCUCCCCAGGCUACAGUGAGGUCUGUAGUCAGUCUUACCAGGCUACAGUGAGGUCUGUAGUCAGUCUCCCCAGGCUACAGUGAGGUCUGUAUUCAGUCUCCCCAGGCUACAGUGAGGUCUGUAUUCAGUCUCCCCAGGCUACAGUGAGGUCUGUAUUCA
This is a long non-coding RNA of Oncorhynchus keta (chum salmon), 244 nucleotides long. RefSeq lists it as uncharacterized. The record is from RefSeq and is a predicted model, not a curated record. NCBI's taxonomy places the organism in Eukaryota, Metazoa, Chordata, Actinopteri, Salmoniformes, Salmonidae. The transcript has 3 exons.